This 853-nucleotide long non-coding RNA is filed under the name Nicotiana benthamiana. Its description in RNAcentral is "long non-coding RNA (NBEN_LNC019706)". The record is from RNAcentral. Lineage: Eukaryota; Viridiplantae; Streptophyta; Magnoliopsida; Solanales; Solanaceae.
AAGAUUGGAAGGGAUUCAUAAUAGUGUCUUAAGCAUUAAAUCAAAGUAUCAAAUUAACCAAGCUGACAAAGCCUGAAAACAUCAAAGAAUAACAUCAGAACUCAUUUUUAGGAGUUUAAACUUAACCAAACAAGUAGGCAUACACAUAAAAAUUGCAAACAGCCAUUACAAAACUAAAUCACGUUCUUUUACCAAUCUCAGUAGCAGCAUUUUCAAACAAAUAGAGAAUCAAACAAUAAUAAUAACAACAGACCAAUUAAAACACGUCUCUAAUUAUAUAAAGAUCAAAACUAUUAGCUGAAAAUAAGAGGCGAAGAACUGGACCAGAAAUUGCUUUCUAUAUAUAUUCAAAUCUUCAAAAAUUACAGCGCAAUGAGAGCUUGAACUAAAAAUUGCAAACAACAGCAGCAAGAAUGAGGCAAGAACUGCGAGCUCGAAAUUAAACUUCGAUUUCAAAAGCUUUGUUCAGUCGAACAAUUUUUUUGAAAUUCCAAAUUUUAAAAUUUAACCAAAAAACGCAUCUUAGAUAACUUGCAAAGAUCGUUAUAUAGUGUAACCCUUUUGUAUUUACCAAAUCAUUUCCCCCUUUUUGUCUUCUUUCCCUGAUCCCUUCUGCAUCUGCAUUCUCAUAUGUGUAUGUAUAUAUGAGAGUCAAUGGCUGAAGCUUCUUUUGGAAUGGAAGGGAUGGCCACUCUUUCUUGAUCAAGGGAUGUUUUUUUGGUUAAAAAGAUGAUGGAAAAAAAGGCUGGAACUCCUCAGUGUUUUUUUGGUGUUAGGGAUCUGAUGAUUAGAGGUGAUGAAGAAAAUGGAGGAGAAGGGGAUUUCCGCUGUUCUUUUGCUAAUGGGAAAGGGG